CGAAUUGCCAAAGAGUCCAUUAAUUUCAGUAUUCUAAACAAGCAUACACCGGACAAUCCAUCCAUACCAUUCAGCUUUACCAAUGAGACAGUAUGGAUUAAGCCAGAAGAUCAGCUGCCAUGUUACUUGACUCACACCAACCCUAGAGUGGAUGAGAUUGUCCUUAAGAACCUUCACCUUAAUAGUCAUGUUAAAGAAACGACAAGAGGACCUCGAUACUGUCCCUCCAUUGAAUCAAAAGUUCUGCGUUUUCCAAACCGUCUACAUCAGGUUUGGUUGGAACCUGAAGGAAUGGAUUCUGACCUUAUCUACCCACAGGGGUUAUCUAUGACGCUACCAGCUGAGUUACAAGAGAAAAUGAUCACAUGCAUCAGAGGCUUGGAGAAAGCUAAAGUGAUUCAGCCAGGUAAAGAGGAUCACAAGUGCCCUUCAAUAUAAGAUGAGCAUUGUU
RNAcentral lists this small RNA (451 nucleotides) under Pongo abelii (Sumatran orangutan). Its description in RNAcentral is "retained intron". The record is from RNAcentral. Lineage: Eukaryota; Metazoa; Chordata; Mammalia; Primates; Hominidae.